RNAcentral lists this unclassified non-coding RNA (232 nucleotides) under uncultured fungus. RNAcentral's name for it is "partial contains 18S rRNA, ITS1, 5.8S rRNA, ITS2 and 28S rRNA". Lineage: Eukaryota; Fungi. The record is from RNAcentral.
AAGGAUCAUUACCGAGUUAGGGUCCUUAACUGGCCCGACCUCCAACCCUUUGUCUACCUUACCUUAUGUUGCUUCGGCGAGCCCGUACCUUGAAAUAUAGGUACCGCCGGGGGCCUUGCGGCCUCUGGUCCGUGCUCGUCGAUAGCCCUUAUCAAACUCUUGAAUAACCAUGUCGUCUAAGUAAAAAGCACUUAAUAAAUUAAAACUUUCAACAACGGAUCUCUUGGUUUUG